Molecule: long non-coding RNA, 4821 nt
Filed under: Sus scrofa (pig)
Lineage: Eukaryota; Metazoa; Chordata; Mammalia; Artiodactyla; Suidae
Description: lncRNA (ENSSSCG00065009656.1)
Source: RNAcentral
GAGAGAGAGAGAGAGAAAGAGAGAGAGGAAGAGAAAGAGAGAGAGAAAGAGAAAGAAAGAAAAGAAAUGUGAAGUAGCACCUUCAAUCAUCCUUAAUCUCUUCUCUGGCUCUAGGCAGAUUCAGAAGGAAAUGGGGGAGCAUUCUCCAUGCACUUACCGAACGUGGGCCAGGCCAGAAACGACAGACACCUUGGUGGGCAAUUUCCAAUUAAUUAUAUGCAUUCAGAGAUGGGAAGCCUGCUUCAAACAAUAUAAAAUUUAUUUUUUUAAUUAGCUUUAUUUUUUGGCACUUAUAUGUCAUGUAAACUAGGAUUAAAGUGGAUUUGCAUUCUUAGGACACAAAUUGGAGGUGUGACAGAGGGGGUUAAGUGGGAGGUAUGUCAGUCUGGGCUUUAAAAAUUGUCCAGAGGUAAUUGACAAGACAGAUAAAAUUAGAUUGAGCUGACUACGUAAUUACUAGCAGUCAAAGGCAUCAUAAUCAGCCUUGAACAUGGAAACUUCCUUUGAGGAUCACUCAUAUACAGAUGUCAUCCCUUGUAAAACUGCUCUAUUUUAUAGAAUUUUCAGAGAGAAAGCUCAAAGAUGCCUUAGGAAAUGUCUUUGGGGGUAGUGUCUUUGUGGCAUUUCUUUCAGAGAUCAGAAGACACUGGUGAACUCCAGGUGGCAAUAGGAUGGAUGUGGGAUGGAAGUGGAGACGGCUGGAGAAGAGGACUGGGGAGAAGGCCUAGUUGGGAAACAGGGCUGACUAGGAUGCUCUGAGAGUCCUUUCUCAGCCUCCUGGAGAGAAGGAGGAAACUCCGUGGGAGUCCAGUGAGGUUUCGAGCCUCUCCAGGUAGAAGGACAUAGCCCCAGCCCAGGCGGCAUCGAGCACAGACUCGGCUGGCCGCGCCCCUCCCAGAGGAGGUGAAGAGGUUGAGGGGAGGGAGCGAGGGAGCGCGGGAGCUAGCGGCGCCGCGGGGCGGGGCUUCCGGGGCACCCAAUCCCCUUCUUUCCUCGCCCCUUCUCCGCCCCCCGACCCCCUUUCCACCAACGGAGCGCCACGGUGGGCGGUGCCAGUCACGGCUGCCGUCCUGGUUGUGAUUUUUUUUUCUCCCUUUUUUUCUCUCUCUCUCUUUUUUUUUUUUCACCUUUCCUUUUUUGUGAAUGAAAAAAGGAGGUCGCAAGCAGUCCCGGAGACUGCAGCGCUAGGCGUCUUCGUGGACGCGCCUUUGGAGCGGGCCCGGGAGCGUAGCACCGGCGGCCUCGCCCCUCUCGCCCACUCCUGCGUGCCACCUCCAUCCUCCGCAGCCAGAGGACCCGCGGCUGCGGCGCGGCCCAGCCGCGGAGGUCGGAGCGGCAGCCCGCUGCUCAGCUCCGGCGCGCCUCCAUGACAUUGGGCGCCGGUGGCGCGAGGAGAUGCUGAUCCGGAAGAGGCAAUGGCUGCAGUGCCGCGCGCGCGGCCGCUCCCGGCCCACGGUCCGGCCUGGGCUGCUCUGUCAGAGUUUCUGAUCUAACGCGAUCCGGGCCCGGAGCCUGAGCAGCAGCGGCGGCGGCGGCAGCAGCAGCAGCAGCAGCAGCAGCACCGCGGUGGAGUCGGCUUCGUCCUAACUUGCACGCGCGGAGUGACCCCAGACAUUUCACUAAAAUGAGCGUGCUUAGCAGGAAGAGAUGUGUUCCUUACACUAGAAAUUACCCCGUCACAUGUAGCGGUGUCCCAAUUAAUGGAUUCUGACAUGGAUUAUGAAAGGCCAAACGUAGAGACCAUCAAGUGCGUGGUGGUGGGGGACAACGCCGUGGGCAAGACCAGGCUCAUUUGUGCCCGGGCCUGCAAUGCCACCCUCACCCAGUACCAGCUGCUCGCCACCCACGUGCCCACGGUUUGGGCCAUCGACCAGUAUCGGGUGUGCCAGGAGGUGCUGGAACGUUCCCGAGACGUAGUAGAUGAUGUCAGCGUGUCCCUCCGCCUCUGGGACACCUUCGGAGAUCACCACAAAGACCGUCGCUUUGCUUAUGGGAGAUCUGAUGUGGUGGUUCUGUGCUUCUCCAUUGCCAACCCCAACUCCCUCCACCAUGUCAAGACCAUGUGGUACCCAGAAAUCAAGCACUUCUGCCCCCGAGCACCUGUCAUCUUGGUGGGUUGCCAGCUGGACCUGCGUUAUGCUGACCUGGAGGCUGUCAAUAGGGCCAGGAGACCCUUGGCUAGGCCCAUCAAGCCCAAUGAAAUCCUUCCCCCAGAGAAGGGUCGGGAAGUGGCCAAGGAGCUGGGCAUCCCCUACUAUGAGACCAGUGUGGUGGCCCAGUUUGGCAUCAAGGACGUCUUUGACAACGCCAUCCGGGCAGCGCUCAUUUCCCGCCGGCACCUGCAGUUCUGGAAGUCCCACCUCCGCAACGUGCAGCGGCCUCUGCUGCAGGCGCCCUUCCUGCCCCCCAAGCCACCUCCCCCCAUCAUCGUGGUGCCCGACCCCCCCUCCAGCAGCGAAGAGUGCCCCGCCCACCUCCUGGAGGACCCGCUGUGUGCGGAUGUCAUCCUGGUGCUGCAGGAACGGGUGCGCAUCUUUGCCCACAAGAUCUACCUCUCCACCUCCUCCUCCAAGUUCUAUGACCUGUUCCUCAUGGACCUGAGUGAGGGGGAGCUGGGGGGCCCCUCGGGGUCAGGGGGCCCCCACCCGGAGGACCACCGGGGUCACCCUGAUCACCACCACCACCACCACCACCACCACCACCACGGCCGGGACUUCCUGCUCCGGGCAGCCAGCUUUGAUGUGUGCGAGAGUGUGGAGGAGGGUGGGGGCUCUGGUCCCGCUGGGCUGCGGGCCUCAACCAGCGAUGGGAUCUUACGGGGCAACGGGACAGGGUACCUGCCCGGGAGGGGUCGAGUGCUGUCUUCCUGGAGCCGAGCUUUUGUGAGCAUCCAGGAAGAGAUGGCAGAAGAUCCACUGACUUACAAAUCCCGGCUGAUGGUGGUGGUGAAAAUGGACAACUCCAUCCAACCGGGGCCCUUCCGGGCUGUUCUCAAGUACCUGUACACAGGGGAGUUGGACGAGAAUGAGCGGGACCUCAUGCACAUUGCCCACAUUGCUGAGCUGCUCGAGGUCUUCGAUCUGCGCAUGAUGGUGGCCAACAUUCUCAACAACGAGGCCUUCAUGAACCAGGAAAUCACCAAGGCCUUCCAUGUCCGCCGGACCAACCGGGUUAAGGAGUGCUUGGCAAAAGGCACCUUCUCAGAUGUGACCUUCAUCCUGGAUGAUGGCACCAUCAGCGCCCACAAGCCCCUGUUGAUUUCCAGCUGUGACUGGAUGGCUGCCAUGUUUGGGGGGCCAUUUGUGGAGAGUUCCACCAGGGAGGUGGUGUUUCCUUACACGAGCAAGAGCUGCAUGAGGGCAGUGCUGGAGUACCUCUACACGGGCAUGUUCACGUCCAGUCCCGACCUGGACGACAUGAAGCUCAUCAUCCUGGCCAACCGCCUCUGCCUGCCCCACCUGGUUGCCCUCACAGAACAGUACACCGUGACCGGGCUGAUGGAAGCGACUCAGAUGAUGGUGGACAUCGAUGGGGACGUCCUUGUGUUCCUGGAACUGGCUCAGUUCCACUGUGCGUACCAGCUGGCCGACUGGUGUCUCCAUCACAUCUGUACCAACUAUAACAACGUGUGUCGCAAGUUCCCCCGAGACAUGAAGGCCAUGUCCCCAGAAAACCAGGAGUAUUUUGAGAAGCACCGCUGGCCGCCCGUCUGGUACCUGAAGGAGGAGGAUCACUACCAGCGGGCCCGGAAGGAGCGUGAGAAGGAGGACUAUCUCCACCUGAAACGGCAGCCCAAGCGGCGCUGGCUGUUCUGGAACAGUCCCUCCUCACCGUCCUCUUCAGCUGCGUCCUCUUCGUCCCCAUCUUCCUCCUCGGCUGUGGUCUGAGAUGCUGCCGCCCUCUUCUGACCCUGCUGCUCUCGUCCCCACUUGUCCUUGCCCCUCUGCUCCUCUGCAUCGCCCCCUCUACCUUCCAGGGACAAAGGACUCACAUAACCAGGACCCCACGGGCAGAGCUGCUCUCACCAGCCAACACAGCUCAGCAAAGAGAGGAAGGAGCCAGGCCGCGUGGAUCAGAACAGGGAGCCCCCCCACCUCUGCUGAGGUCCCGCUUCCAGAAACCGAGGCAGGAGACGACUCUUGGGAGGUGGGGAACAGGAGAAGAGCUGAGGGCUGUGGCACCUUGUCUCUGGGUCAGAGAACCCUAGAGUCAAAGGGAGAACUCCCCCAGCCGCGAGGCUGCGUGUCUUGGGUCCACGGAGGCAGCUCCCUCCCUGGGAGUGGUGGUGCCCAGGAAGGGCCCUUUCUCGGGGGGCCGUGUGUUUCCAUCCACGGACUUGGGGGGUUGCAGAUGUUUUGUGGGCAUUUCCACGUGGAGCCUACUCAAUUCCUCACUGGAGAAGUCAGGGUAGAAAUUAAGCCUUUAGAGCCCAACUCGAGACUUCCACACCUGGGGUGCAGCUGCCAGAGGCCAUGGGUGGAAGGCUUGCCCUCUGCGGGCACCCCUGCCAUGGCUGUGGGCAUCCAGGCCUGAGAAGGGUGGCAGAGAUUGUUCAGAGCUGCAGGUCUAGAAGCAGUGCCUCUUGGUGCAGUGAGAGACUUUUCUCUCCCCCCUCCUUCACUGCUCAGAUUUCCAGAUAGAAACCAAACAAAACAGCUGGAACCGGGGGAGAGAAGGAGGCGGGGGAUGGGGGCCUGGGCGCAGCAAUCCCGUACUCCUCUGGGCCCUCCACCCCCCACCCCACCCCCCCGCCUCUGGUCAGCACAGCUUCUUAUGGGAUAGGGCAAAAUUAGCAAAAAAAAAAAAAAAAAAAAAAAAAAA